UCUGUGUUUGUUUUGGGCAGAAACUCUCCCACUUUCUGCCUGCUCAGCCUGCUCUCAGAUGGUAGACGGGCUGCUCCGGUAGCUGCAGCCUCACUGUCACACUUGCUAUGAUGGUCUUUCUGGCUGCUCCAAGCAUAUCUAUGGCUCCAAACACUGGUACUGUGACAGCGAAUAGACACACAUCGAAAUCCAAGCGGUUAACAGCUUGCUACUAUUAGGGCAGAGUUUAUAUGCCUGGUUCCUACUGAUGUCCUCUGGUCUUUCUUUGAUGGACUUGAAAAGUAUGUCCCAAGACUGCUUGAAAUGUACAGAGUGCAUCUGCAUCUGUGCAGUCUGCUUCAGCUCCUUGAUGUACAAACUAUCCCAAAAGACUGAAGACUGAAUUCUACAAAUGUCAAUAUACAAACACUCAAAGACACACUCAACACAAGGCCUAUGAUAAAGUGAGAAAGGUCUGUAAAAGUCACAGAAAAAAUACUUGCACAUGUUUUAAAAAUGUUAAUAUAGAAUGUUGUGUGUGUGUGUGUACAUUUUGUUCAGUAAAGAGAUGCAAUUUAACUAUAGCACUUCAAGCAGUAAGCUUUUAUAUUUCACAGUUGCUCCUUUUAUACCUUAGCAGUUGUUCUUGUAUUGUAAAAGCACAGUACUAAGGCCAUUUUGAAUACAGUUUUAUUAGAUAAAUGUUAAUAAGUACAGAAACGUUAAAUAUGUGGUAUUUCUCAUAAUAUUCAGUUAUGCCUCAUGGUAAGUGUUUUAAUAUGAGGAAGAUUCAUACCAAAAA
Thunnus maccoyii (southern bluefin tuna) is the source of this 781-nucleotide long non-coding RNA. RefSeq lists it as uncharacterized. The record is from RefSeq and is a predicted model, not a curated record. The transcript is spliced from 3 exons. NCBI's taxonomy places the organism in Eukaryota, Metazoa, Chordata, Actinopteri, Scombriformes, Scombridae.